UGGGGAAUAUUGCACAAUGGGCGCAAGCCUGAUGCAGCCAUGCCGCGUGUAUGAAGAAGGCCUUCGGGUUGUAAAGUACUUUCAGCGAGGAGGAAGGCGUUGUGGUUAAUAACCGCAGCGAUUGACGUUACUCGCAGAAGAAGCACCGGCUAACUCCGUGCCAGCAGCCGCGGUAAUACGGAGGGUGCAAGCGUUAAUCGGAAUUACUGGGCGUAGAGCGCACGCAGGCGGUCUGUCAAGUCGGAUGUGAAAUCCCCGGGCUCAACCUGGGAACUGCAUCCGAAACUGGCAGGCUAGAGUCUUGUAGAGGGGGGUAGAAUUCCAGGUGUAGCGGUGAAAUGCGUAGAGAUCUGGAGGAAUACCGGUGGCGAAGGCGGCCCCCUGGACAAAGACUGACGCUCAGGUGCGAAAGCGUGGGGAGCAAACA
This 427-nucleotide ribosomal RNA is filed under the name uncultured bacterium. Its description in RNAcentral is "partial 16S ribosomal RNA". It matches the Rfam family "Bacterial small subunit ribosomal RNA", at positions 355 to 774 of the family's 1533-position model. The record is from RNAcentral.